This 1866-nucleotide long non-coding RNA is filed under the name Homo sapiens (human). RNAcentral's name for it is "HSALNT0314607". Lineage: Eukaryota; Metazoa; Chordata; Mammalia; Primates; Hominidae. The record is from RNAcentral.
GUAAGACGUGACUUUGCUCCUCAUUCACCUUCCACCGAGAUUGUGAGGCCUCCUUAACCAUGUGGAACUGUCUCUCAUUCCACCUAACGAGAAACGCCCACAGGUGUGGAGGGGCAACCCACCCCUUCAAUCAGGAACCUCAGAAUGUGACAUUUGGAAAUUGGGAGGUUGCAGAUGUAACGAAUUAACUUGGCGACAUACUGGAGUAAGGUGGGCCCUUCACACCCUAUGACUGGUAUCCUUAUAAGAAGAAAAGAAGAGACUCAGAGGGAAGACAGCUGUGUGCAGCUGGAAUGAUGCAUCUGAAGCCAAGGAAUGCCGUGCAUUGCCGGCCACCAUCCAAAACUAGAAAAAGUCAGGAAGGAUUCUUCCCUAGAACCUUCAAAGGCAGUACAGCCCUGCCAACACCUGCAUUCAGCCUCUGGCCUCCAGAACUGUGAGAGGAUGAAUUUCUGUUGUUUUCAGCCACCCAAGCUUAGGAAAUGGGUUGCAGCAGACUGGGAAUAAGACAGGCAGCCAGUCAGCCUCCGUGGAAUUCCCAGGCAGCUUGCAGGAGCCAGAGUGGGCCCUGGGCUCUGAGAAGGUCUGAGGCCCAGCAGGCGCAGGGGCCUAAACUAUUUCUCGGCAAGGAGGAAGGAAGGUUCAUCCAGAACGUAGAUCCCCUUCCUCCUUCUGACACCUCACGAGGUCACAGCGAGGUGGCUGGGAGGAGAGCCAGGAAGUUUUCACUGAGGUGUGUGGGAGACAGCUUGGCAGCCCUUGGUCUCUGAAGGGAGGAGGUGGUGUGAAGGAGGGCAGCUUCAGAACUUCCCAGUUCCUGCCUGAUGACCUGUGUGUAAAGUAUUCCCGUUUAGGUUUCAACAUCCUCUCAGAAAUAUAAUUCUCAGAAAAUCCAGGCACCCAAUCCAGCUCCCUGGCAUUCCCUGAAAUCUGAAGUCAAAGGGGCUGAGCCAGCCUGCCCUGGGUGUCAGGUCUCUGAGCCCAAGAUAAGCCAUCAUAUCCCCUGUGACCUGCACAUACACAUCCAGAUGGCUGGUUCCUGCCUUAACUGAUGACAUUCCUCCACAAAAGAAGUGAAAAUGGUCUGUUCCUGCCUUAACUGAUGACAUUCCUCCACAAAAGAAGUGAAAAUGGUCUGUUCCUGCCUUAACUGAUGACAUUGUCUUGUGAAAUUCCUUCUCCUGGCUCAUUCUGGCUCAAAACCUCCCCCACUGAGUACCUUCUGACCCCCACUCUGCCUGCCAGAGAACAAACCCCCUUUGACUGUAAUUUUCCUUUGCCUACCCAAAUCCUAUAAAAUGGCCCCACCCCUAUCUCCCUUUGCUGACUCUCUUUCAGACCCAGCCCACCUGCACCCAGGUGAAAUAAACAGCCAUGUUGCUCACAAAGUCUGUUUGGUGGUCUCUUCACAUGGACGCACAUGAAAUUUGGUGCUGUGACUCGGAUGGGGGGCCUCCCUUGGGAGAUCAAUCCCAUGUCCUCCUGUUCUUUGCUCCAUGAAAAAGAUCCGCCUACAACCUCAGGUCCUCAGACCCAGCAGCCCAAGGAACAUCUCACCAAUUUUAAAUCCGACUCAGCCCGCCUGCACCCCGGUGAAAUAAACAGCCAUGUUGCUCACACAAAGCCUGUUUGGUGGUCUCUUCACGCGGACGCGCAUGAAACUGGGGUCCUCAUGCCCACCAGUCCAGAGUGCUCUCUAGAGGAAGGCUACAGACACUUCCUGGCUCGCUCAUCCAGACGUUAGCUGUCUUGCUGAAAUGCCUUUUUUCACCCUUGAAAACCACUGGAAGAAUGGCCAAGAACCCAGCUAUCCUGAGGAUGCAGCGUCCCUCAAACUGCAGAGCCACUUGGCGAUGAAGCCAGGAU